GUUUGUAAAAAACAAAACAAAAUUAUAUUUUGUGAGCUUUGAGUUGGUGCUUAGAGAUUGAGUGCAUUGGAUUAUGUAUGUUAAGUUAAUUGGUCCCAACAGCACCCUUAUAAUAUAUGCAUGUUGAAAUUAGUGCAACCUUCUUGGUUUCACAUAUAUGUUUUGGGAGACCAUGCCAUCUCCCUGGAUUUUGCACUUCUCCUUGUCACAGAUGCCUCAUUCCUGGGUCCUAUUUAGCCUUGCAAUCCACACAGCUCCGCCAAGAUUGAUUCCCAAGUAAGUGGGAACACUUUACACAUUACUAUUCAUACAGAUAUUUCUUAUAUAGGGCUAUCAUGACAGCUCUGUAUAUGUAAUUCAUUUAUAUGUUGCAAUUUGUCCUUAUCUUCAUCCCAAUAGUGAAUACACUAUAUCAUAAUAGUUUUACCUACAAGAGAUACAUUGCUGGUCACUAAGUUGCUAACAUUUGCAUCUGGCUACUAGGUGCUGGACUGGCUCUUUGCACAGUCUGUACCUUGGGUAACAUAGGUUUAGAGCCUCAGUGCAGUUUUUCAGUCUUGCAUUAUCCAACUAUUGGCAUGAUUGAGCCCAAUGCCACACAUAUGGAUACAGGAAUGCUUAGUAUAUAGUGGUAUCUGCCGGUGGCACAACCCAUGGAGAGGCUGGUACCAUGGACAUUUUAUGUAUCCUCUAUCUGUUGUUGUCUCAGGUAUUCCGUUACCAGUUUAUCUUUUGGAGCCAUCUUUGUGAUGUACUUGUAGAUGCUCUGUGUUUCAUCAUCAGAACCUUCCUUUCGGCUGGUGUAAAGUCUCUGGGUGUUGGAUUUAAGGUUAACGCAUCCAUUCAUAGUGAGAAUUUUCUGGGUUUUGACAUGCAUGGACAGGCUACUAUUCCAGCUGGAUACCUGGUGACUGAUACACCAUAUACGUUAAUGAUUUGGCUCUUGUUCUUGACAUUAAGCUGGGAAUUUAGGAUCUGUCUUACUCUCUGUAGAAUCCCAUGUGACUGCUUGUUCUAGCAGUAGUUGGUAUGUUGUGAUCCUCUG
Non-coding RNA from Pelobates cultripes (western spadefoot toad), 1045 nucleotides. The record is from the annotation of a GenBank genome assembly. NCBI's taxonomy places the organism in Eukaryota, Metazoa, Chordata, Amphibia, Anura, Pelobatidae.